AUGCCCCUGGACACUGACGAGGACCACUCCUAUAACAAGAGGCCUUACAGCUUCCUUCCUAAAGAGUCGGAAAGUCAUGUUACCAUGGACAAAGAAGACGGAAGCCUGGAUGGCGAAAACGCAUCUUUCAAGAUGCUUGAGGAAAGGGCUCAACAAGCUCAGCACCAUCGAAGACUGACCAGUG
This is a long non-coding RNA of Trematomus bernacchii (emerald rockcod), 184 nucleotides long. RefSeq lists it as uncharacterized. NCBI's taxonomy places the organism in Eukaryota, Metazoa, Chordata, Actinopteri, Perciformes, Nototheniidae. The record is from RefSeq and is a predicted model, not a curated record. The transcript is spliced from 3 exons.